CCGACUCAAUCAUGAUUGAUCACCGGUCGAUCCCGAGUUAGCCCAAUUCCAAAGGUUAUGUAUUCUGAAAUAUUCAUACAAUGCACUAAUCGACUGAUUUACUGUACUAAUUGGUACUAAUUGGCACAAAUCGGCCGGUUGGUGCACUAAUCAGUGAUUUGUUGUAAAGAUCACCCGAGUUGUGCACUGUUAUAGUGAAAAAUCUAUGAACACUUGAAAAAUGUUGAAAGUUGAAGGUCUAAAAAUACAUUACAAGAUGGACUAUUUAUGACACUUGGAAUCCAUUUUUUCUCAUGUCCAUACUUCUUGAGGUUGAGAUGAUCGAUUUGAGGAUUUUUGGGCAUCGAAAUAAUGCAGAUAACCGAGGGCAAUGAGGGCAAGACGACCUGCUUGAUGCUCGAGCAUUCUUGGUAAUGUCAUUUGGUCUAACCAAUGCCCCAACAACCUUUUGCACAUUGAUGAGUGAGUUAUUUGCCCCUACUUAGAGAAGUUUAUCGUAGUCGAUGAUAUUUGAUACUAAAUAGACCGGAUGAUAUUGUGGUGUAUACUAAACCAAGCUGACUUUUCUAUUGGAUUUUUGAGGUGCUCUUUAAUUUAAUUAUUAAGGGCCUAGCCCUUAAAUAAACUUUUUCCUUUAUGGGUUUUAAGGGGUGUGGUUUGUAUAAGGCUGGGGCCUAAACUGUCAAAGUAAGGUGCACAUUCAAAUAGUAUCGAGAGACGUUGUUUUAGUAUUAGAAAUCUUUGUGAUGGCCUGAAAAUUUAUAUCUAAUUAUAUAAUUUAAAGCUUGAAAAUAAUGUAGAUCAAGCAUAUCUUGAACAAUUGAAAAUCUUGAAAACUAGCAUUGUGGUCUAUAAAAUGCAUUACAAAAUGCACUAAUUCCAAGACAAGAAAAUGCAUUAUAUGAUGCACUAUUUUUGAGACAAGAAAUUCAGUUUUCCCAUGUUCAUAUAUCUUGAGGUCGAGAUGAUCGAUUUUAGGAUUUUUGAGCAUUGAAACAACUUUUUCGAGUGAAAUUUUGAUGUGUGCUUUAGUUUGAUUGUUUAGGGCAUUACCUUUAUAUAAACCUUUUCCCUAAUUUAAGUAUACAAUAAAAGCGUAUAGUUUUUGUACAGUAUGGUCACAAUCACCCCUAGUCAUUAGAUGUAAAAUUGGGUGACUAGAAGGCGUAAUAUUACAUCAUCUCCUUCAAUUACUAGUUUGCGUAAUAUUACGCCAUCUCCUUCAAUUACUAGUUCACUGAAAAAGUAUUGCUUUAGAUGUCUAAAAUUUUUCUUCGACACCCAAUUAUGCUUAUAAUAUUUUUUUGGUUUAUUUAUUUUAUGUGACAAUAUAAAAAAACAAUGCAUGUAGAUUUUAAACAUUUUUUUACAAUUUUUUGAGAUUAUUUACUCAAAUUAUAUUUUUCAGUAAAAAUAGGGACACUAAUAAACCAGUGUAAUGCUAUGGAAUCUACUUAAAUUACUAGUUCACUGAAAAAAUAUUGCUUCAUGUAUUUACAUUUUUUUUUUCGACACC
This 1516-nucleotide long non-coding RNA is filed under the name Amborella trichopoda. RNAcentral's name for it is "long non-coding RNA (ATRI_LNC000936)". Lineage: Eukaryota; Viridiplantae; Streptophyta; Magnoliopsida; Amborellales; Amborellaceae. The record is from RNAcentral.